This 298-nucleotide ribosomal RNA is filed under the name Plasmodium vivax (malaria parasite P. vivax). RNAcentral describes it as "partial 18S small subunit ribosomal RNA". It matches the Rfam family "Eukaryotic small subunit ribosomal RNA", at positions 932 to 1187 of the family's 1831-position model. The record is from RNAcentral. Lineage: Eukaryota; Apicomplexa; Aconoidasida; Haemosporida; Plasmodiidae.
GAGACAAACAACUGCGAAAGCAUUUGCCUAAAAUACUUCCAUUAAUCAAGAACGAAAGUUAAGGGAGUGAAGACGAUUAGAUGCCGUCGUAAUCUUAACCAUAAACAAUGCCGACUAGACUAGGCUUUAGAUGAAAAGUUUUAAAAUAAGAGUUUUCUCUUCGGAGUUAACCUCUUAGAUUUGCUUCCUUCAGUGCCUUAGGGGAAAUCAAAACCUUUGGGUUCUGGGGAAAGUAUUCGCGCAAGCGAGAAAGUUAAAAAGAAUUGACGGAAGGGCACCACCAGACGUGGAGCUUGCG